RNAcentral lists this ribosomal RNA (796 nucleotides) under uncultured bacterium. RNAcentral's name for it is "bacterial SSU rRNA". It matches the Rfam family "Bacterial small subunit ribosomal RNA", at positions 62 to 892 of the family's 1533-position model. The record is from RNAcentral.
UCGCACGAGAAAGUGGAGCAUCCAUGAGUAAAGUGGCGUACGGGUGAGUAACACGUGGAUAAUCUACCUUUUAGUGGGGAAUACCUCCUGGAAACGGGAGACAAUACCGCAUAAGCUCGUAAGAGGAAAGCAGCAAUGCGCUGAAAGAGGAGUCCGCGGCUGAUUAGCUAGUUGGCGGGGUAACGGCCCACCAAGGCGAAGAUCGGUAGCCGGCCUGAGAGGGCACACGGCCACACUGGCACUGAAACACGGGCCAGACUCCUACGGGAGGCAGCAGUGGGGAAUCUUGCACAAUGGAGGAAACUCUGAUGCAGCGACGCCGCGUGAGCGAUGAAGCCCUUCGGGGUGUAAAGCUCUUUCGGCAGGAACGAUAAUGACGGUACCUGCAGAAGAAGCUGCGGCUAACUACGUGCCAGCAGCCGCGGUAAUACGUAGGCAGCAAGCGUUGUUCGGAAUUACUGGGCGUAAAGAGUGUGUAGGCGGUUCUCUAAGUUCCGUGUGAAAUCUCCCGGCUUAACUGGGAGGGUGCGCGGAAAACUGGAGGGCUGGAGUAUGGGAGAGGAAAGCGGAAUUCCUGGUGUAGCGGUGAAAUGCGUAGAUAUCAGGAGGAACACCUGCGGUGUAGACAGCUUUCUGGACCAUCACUGACGCUGAGACACGAAAGCGUGGGUAGCAAACAGGAUUAGAUACCCUGGUAGUCCACGCCCUAAACGAUGCAUACUUGGUGUGAGCCGUUCAUUCGGUUCGUGCCGGAGUUAACGCGUUAAGUAUGCCGCCUGGGGAGUACGGUCGCAAG